This 89-nucleotide transfer RNA is filed under the name Clostridia bacterium. RNAcentral describes it as "tRNA-Ser". It matches the Rfam family "tRNA". From Rfam's summary of the family: Transfer RNA (tRNA) molecules are approximately 80 nucleotides in length. Their secondary structure includes four short double-helical elements and three loops (D, anti-codon, and T loops). Further hydrogen bonds mediate the characteristic L-shaped molecular structure. tRNAs have two regions of fundamental functional importance: the anti-codon, which is responsible for specific mRNA codon recognition, and the 3' end, to which the tRNAs corresponding amino acid is attached (by aminoacyl-tRNA synthetases). tRNAs cope with the degeneracy of the genetic code in two manners: having more than one tRNA (with a specific anti-codon) for a particular amino acid; and 'wobble' base-pairing, i.e. permitting non-standard base-pairing at the 3rd anti-codon position. Lineage: Bacteria; Bacillati; Bacillota; Clostridia. The record is from RNAcentral.
GGAGAGAUGUCCGAGCGGUUUAAGGAGCUAGUCUUGAAAACUAGUGAUGCGGCAACGUACCAAGGGUUCGAAUCCCUUUCUCUCCGCCA